CGUCGACGACACCUCGGGGGUGGCCACCCUCAGGAGAUUGCGGGCAGUUCGGACUGCUGGAGUUCAGGCUCGGACUCCUGAGAUGACGC
RNAcentral lists this transfer RNA (89 nucleotides) under Methanobacteriota archaeon. RNAcentral's name for it is "Euryarchaeota archaeon (seawater metagenome) tRNA-Leu". The record is from RNAcentral. Lineage: Archaea; Methanobacteriati; Methanobacteriota.